Ornithodoros turicata is the source of this 765-nucleotide long non-coding RNA. RefSeq lists it as uncharacterized. NCBI's taxonomy places the organism in Eukaryota, Metazoa, Arthropoda, Arachnida, Ixodida, Argasidae. The transcript is spliced from 3 exons. The record is from RefSeq and is a predicted model, not a curated record.
CCGGAUAUACGCGUGCGUCACAAAGACCUGCCAUUUUGUCCACAUCACUCCGCUCGGGAAAAAACUAGUACAAAACCAGAGAGGAGCAACCCCUACUUGUCCUCUGCAUGUCUGCUGUAUACGCCCGAGGUCUGCUCCCUCACCAGCGUGCAACCAUAUCUGUCGACAUGACGUCCCUGCCGUGGAUCCUUACUGCCCUUUUAGCGUCGGCCUCAAGCGUUCGCUGUCAUGGAUACUGCACACCAGCUGAGCCAUGCCCGUACUUUUGUGAUUAUGCUCGUGAUGUUUAUCUCUGUCCAAUAUGCGUAUGCCCUCCGGUGUGUCCCGUAUGCCCAACGCGCUGCUACUACCCGUCGGUGCAGGGAGAGUGCCCGCCGUGCGCGUCGCCUGAUCUGUGCUGGAUCUAAAGACAGAUGGCGUGACGUGUCAUCACUCCCAGUGUUCGAUCUACGAGCAGGGCAGCGAACUCUUUAAGCUGAUAUACUUAGAAAAAAAAAAAAAAACACAAUGCUCUACAUUUACUUCGUAAAGCGCGGCAUGCGCGCCGGCCCGGGUAAACUUUAAAGGAAUCAAGAAAUAAUGAUUAUUAUUUAAAUGAAUCGCUAUCCUGUGGUAGAUAAUGUCAUGUAGCGUAAAACAAUGGGUGUCGGGUGAAGCACAAUCCACCUGAUAUGAUGCAGUACUGUAUUUCUAUUGAAUGUACACUAAAGCAGUGGCUUGUAGCGAGAAAAUAAAUCUGAAAGAGCUAACAAGGACAUAUAGCUA